This 757-nucleotide ribosomal RNA is filed under the name Psychrobacter celer. RNAcentral's name for it is "bacterial SSU rRNA". It matches the Rfam family "Bacterial small subunit ribosomal RNA", at positions 677 to 1433 of the family's 1533-position model. The record is from RNAcentral. Lineage: Bacteria; Pseudomonadati; Pseudomonadota; Gammaproteobacteria; Moraxellales; Moraxellaceae.
AGCGGUGAAAUGCGUAGAGAUCUGGAGGAAUACCGAUGGCGAAGGCAGCUUCCUGGCAUCAUACUGACACUGAGGCUCGAAAGCGUGGGUAGCAAACAGGAUUAGAUACCCUGGUAGUCCACGCCGUAAACGAUGUCUACUAGUCGUUGGGUCCCUUGAGGACUUAGUGACGCAGCUAACGCAAUAAGUAGACCGCCUGGGGAGUACGGCCGCAAGGUUAAAACUCAAAUGAAUUGACGGGGGCCCGCACAAGCGGUGGAGCAUGUGGUUUAAUUCGAUGCAACGCGAAGAACCUUACCUGGUCUUGACAUACACAGAAUCUUGUAGAGAUACGAGAGUGCCUUCGGGAAUUGUGAUACAGGUGCUGCAUGGCUGUCGUCAGCUCGUGUCGUGAGAUGUUGGGUUAAGUCCCGCAACGAGCGCAACCCUUGUCCUUAGUUACCAGCGGGUUAAGCCGGGAACUCUAAGGAUACUGCCAGUGACAAACUGGAGGAAGGCGGGGACGACGUCAAGUCAUCAUGGCCCUUACGACCAGGGCUACACACGUGCUACAAUGGUAGGUACAGAGGGCAGCUACACAGCGAUGUGAUGCGAAUCUCAAAAAGCCUAUCGUAGUCCAGAUUGGAGUCUGCAACUCGACUCCAUGAAGUAGGAAUCGCUAGUAAUCGCGGAUCAGAAUGCCGCGGUGAAUACGUUCCCGGGCCUUGUACACACCGCCCGUCACACCAUGGGAGUUGAUUGCACCAGAAGUGGUUAG